RNAcentral lists this long non-coding RNA (567 nucleotides) under Pongo abelii (Sumatran orangutan). RNAcentral's name for it is "lincRNA". The record is from RNAcentral. Lineage: Eukaryota; Metazoa; Chordata; Mammalia; Primates; Hominidae.
GGUGCUUAGCAGAAUCCUCAGCUCACAGGAUGAAUAAAUGGAUACUAAAUGACGCACAAAUAAUCUUCACACACAACCAUCAACACACGGAAAGACAGCAGGAUGUCCAGACCCCAAGGUAACAAACAGGGGAAGAUGAUGUUUCAAAUGAUCAUCUGAAUGUUGGGUUUCCACCUUCCACCAGGAAGUCAUAUGGUCAAAUUCUCCCAGAUCCUGAAAUGUAUCUUUUGAUAGAAAUGACUCUGGUACUUUCCCCAACUUACUUUCUAUGGAGCACUUUCCUAAAACAAGAUUUGUAUUUAAAUAUUCCUCCUUCUACAAAGUAUUAAACACUAGUAAGUUCUGCAACAUUGACAAUGGAAACCUGGCAAUGUGCUCUUGUUUGACUAUUAAGGAAUUGCUUCCAAGUACCACAGGGCCUUGAAGACCAAAAUAACACAAUACCUGGAAGGUGAACAAUGGCAACUUACCAGGUGUGGUAAACACUUUUUUCCCAAGAAGAUCCUUUAUUCCUUCUGAAUGCACAUCAAGAAUGAGAAAAUACAUAAAUCACACAUUUGUUAAUAA